RNAcentral lists this small RNA (591 nucleotides) under Cryptococcus neoformans H99. RNAcentral describes it as "Cryptococcus neoformans var. grubii H99 hypothetical RNA". The record is from RNAcentral. Lineage: Eukaryota; Fungi; Basidiomycota; Tremellomycetes; Tremellales; Cryptococcaceae.
UUUCACCACUCUCAUCCAUCGGCUAAACAACUCCCGUUUUCUUAUCGACUGCCGGGCAGAACUAACUGUGAUGUGCUUCGAAGGCACGAACCAACACGGUCAAGCAGAGGAAGAAUGAUCUGAGAGUGGGAGGCUAGAACGCCUUGCCCGCUUUGUUGAUUAUGACUUGAAGGUCUAUUCCCUUGGGGAUCGAGAUGCUGGCAACACGGCAAUGGAGCCCCCUUCUUAACAUGAAGCUGGCGGACUGAUGCUUGGAAAGAUGUCUGGAAUGGUUUGGUAAGGGUUGGAGAGAAUGUAAUGAAAAAGGCGCGAUGAUUUUUGGAGGCGGGUUUAAGCCGUUGGUCUUAUCAACAGGAGGCUUGGUGAGCAGCGAGACAGCAGAUGAGUGGAAGAGUUGGAGGAAGGCGACACCAGAGGCAGCGUUUUGAUGGACGCAGAAGAGAAUUACUAUUGAGCUGGUGAAGGCGAGAGCAAGAAUUUCCAUGAUCUAGUUAAGGAGGAACAUUAAACGAGGAGGAAUGCGAGUAAAUUUACUUUGUUUAUACCGAUCUGAUAAAGCAGACACCGACUACAUGUACUCUAUAUCACCCC